Molecule: unclassified non-coding RNA, 247 nt
Filed under: Pseudorobillarda phragmitis
Lineage: Eukaryota; Fungi; Ascomycota; Dothideomycetes; Pleosporales
Description: partial internal transcribed spacer region
Rfam family: Eukaryotic small subunit ribosomal RNA (bases 1-46)
Source: RNAcentral
AAGUCGUAACAAGGUUUCCGUAGGUGAACCUGCGGAAGGAUCAUUACAAGAGUAUUUCAGUUUGGCUAUAUGCCUCUGAAAAUCUCCACCCUUUGUUUACAUUACCUUUUGUUGUUGCCUCGGUGGGUGCUACCAUACACCUGCCGGCAGACACCUUUUAAAACCCUUGAUUUAAUACUAUAGUCAGAGCUGUAACAAGCAAAAGAUUAAUAAAUCAAAACUUUCAACAACGGAUCUCUUGGUUCUG